This 253-nucleotide ribosomal RNA is filed under the name uncultured bacterium. RNAcentral's name for it is "partial 16S ribosomal RNA". It matches the Rfam family "Bacterial small subunit ribosomal RNA", at positions 524 to 776 of the family's 1533-position model. The record is from RNAcentral.
UACGUAGGGUGCGAGCGUUAAUCGGAAUUACUGGGCGUAAAGCGUGCGCAGGCGGUUUUGUAAGCCAGAUGUGAAAUCCCCGGGCUUAACCUGGGAAUGGCAUUUGGGACUGCAAGGCUUGAGUGCGGCAGAGGAGACUGGAAUUCCUGGUGUAGCAGUGAAAUGCGUAGAUAUCAGGAGGAACACCGAUGGCGAAGGCAGGUCUCUGGGCUGACACUGACGCUCAUGUACGAAAGCGUGGGGAGCGAACAGG